RNAcentral lists this ribosomal RNA (109 nucleotides) under Acanthosepion pharaonis. The record is from RNAcentral. Lineage: Eukaryota; Metazoa; Mollusca; Cephalopoda; Sepiida; Sepiidae.
GACAAAAUCACGUUGAAGCGCCGGUUCCCGUACGAUCAGCCAAGUUAAGCAACGUCGAGCAUGGUCUGUACCUAGAUGAGUGACCGCUUUGGAAUACCAAGUGCUGUAA